GUGCUCGCUUCGGCAGCACAUAUACUAAAAUUGGAGCGAUACAGAGAAGAUUAGCAUGACCCCUGCACAAGGAUGACACGCAAAUAAGAUGCAAAAUAUGACAGAACU
Small nuclear RNA from Hippopotamus amphibius kiboko, 108 nucleotides. The record is from RefSeq and is a predicted model, not a curated record. Lineage: Eukaryota; Metazoa; Chordata; Mammalia; Artiodactyla; Hippopotamidae.